GAUUUUCUAGUAUUUUAUGUAUAUUUGUUUUCCAAACAAAAGGUUUUGAAAAAUUG
RNAcentral lists this transfer RNA (56 nucleotides) under Gongylonema pulchrum. RNAcentral's name for it is "tRNA-Gly". The record is from RNAcentral. Lineage: Eukaryota; Metazoa; Nematoda; Chromadorea; Rhabditida; Gongylonematidae.